This 343-nucleotide ribosomal RNA is filed under the name uncultured Pseudoflavonifractor sp. Its description in RNAcentral is "bacterial SSU rRNA". It matches the Rfam family "Bacterial small subunit ribosomal RNA", at positions 355 to 711 of the family's 1533-position model. Lineage: Bacteria; Bacillati; Bacillota; Clostridia; Eubacteriales; Oscillospiraceae. The record is from RNAcentral.
UGGGGAAUAUUGGGCAAUGGGCGAAAGCCUGACCCAGCAACGCCGCGUGAAGGAAGAAGGUCUUCGGAUUGCAAACUUCUUUUAUGAGGGACGAAGGACGUGACGGUACCUCAUGAAUAAGCCACGGCUAACUACGUGCCAGCAGCCGCGGUAAUACGUAGGUGGCAAGCGUUAUCCGGAUUUACUGGGUGUAAAGGGCGUGUAGGCGGGACUGCAAGUCGGAUGUGAAAACUAUGGGCUCAACCCAUAGCCUGCAUUUGAAACUGUAGUUCUUGAGUGUCGGAGAGGCAAUCGGAAUUCCGUGUGUAGCGGUAGAAAUGCGUAGAUAUACGGAGGAACACCA